This 255-nucleotide long non-coding RNA is filed under the name Malus domestica (apple). Its description in RNAcentral is "long non-coding RNA (MDOM_LNC008619)". Lineage: Eukaryota; Viridiplantae; Streptophyta; Magnoliopsida; Rosales; Rosaceae. The record is from RNAcentral.
ACGGGGCUCUCUACGAGGCAGCAUAGCUCUGACAGAAGACAUCACAAGGAUUAGAAUAUUCAUGAAUUAUACAGGACUGCUAAACCUAGGCUCUGAUACCAAACUGACACACCCCGACCGAGAUCAAGGCAUGUUGGCCGUCACGUGAGGGUGACAUAGCCAUGUGCACAGUGCGGUAGCAAUAAGGAUAAGAAAUAUAUGAAUAAUUAAAAAUCGAAACUACUAGAGUGCACUAGAAAACAGGAAGUGUUAGGA